Molecule: ribosomal RNA, 254 nt
Filed under: uncultured bacterium
Lineage: Bacteria
Description: partial 16S ribosomal RNA
Rfam family: Bacterial small subunit ribosomal RNA
Source: RNAcentral
UACGUAGGGGGCGAGCGUUGUCCGGAGUUACUGGGCGUAAAGGGCCCGCAGGCGGUGCUGCGCGUUUGCACUGACAGGUGCCAGCUUAACUGGCAGAGGGGUGCAAAGACGGCAGGACUUUGAGGACCAGAGAGGGACAUGGAACUCCAGGUGUAGUGGUGAAAUGCGCAGAUAUCGGGAGGAACACCGGUGGCGAAGGCGGUUCUCUGGGCCUGACCUGACGCUGAGGAGCGAAAGCGUGGGGAGCGAACAGG